Molecule: unclassified non-coding RNA, 272 nt
Filed under: Hevea brasiliensis (rubber tree)
Lineage: Eukaryota; Viridiplantae; Streptophyta; Magnoliopsida; Malpighiales; Euphorbiaceae
Source: RNAcentral
GGGAAAUUAGGGUUUCAGAAAUUGGAUUUGGGGCAAAAAAGAAAAUAACUUAAAUAGAGAAAAUUUAAAGGCAGUGAGAACAACGAGUGGAUCCUAAAGGGAGUAAACAAGAACCGAAGACGAAAUGGAUGAUCGGAAGGUUUGUAUAUAGAUAAGAUGAAAACAGAUCAACGAUGAGGUUUUGAAUGGUUCCGACUUCCGGCAAUUGAACGGUGAAAAAGUAAGGUGAAGAAAUUUGGUAGUGUGAAGAAGAUAUGCGUUGUAGACGUGGG